UCACCAAUCCCUGAGCCCCUCGUCUCCGGCGGCGGCAUCCAUGGUGAAGGGACGCACGGGGCAACACAUGAGGCUCUACGUCCGACGCAGCAUCCUCGGCUUCAAGAGGUCCAAGUCCAACCAGUACGAGAACACGUCGCUGAUGCAACCACUGCCGGCGCCCCCAGCCCUCUCCUCCUCUCCUCUCCUUCUCUCCCGAGUCGCCGAGUCCAACCUCCACAGAUUUCACUCCGCGCGCCCGGAACCCUAGCCCGUGGCCGUGGCGACCAGGCUCUGGAUCCGCAUCAUCGGAUGCGCCGGCGACGAGGCCAGGAGGCUGAUGAUGGGCCGGUGGGCUGCCGGCGACGGAUCUGCAUCUCCAGAUGCGUCGGCGACCAGGCUCUGGAUCCGCAUCCGCUGCCCUCCACUCUUUCCACUCCUCGAGGCUAUGUGUUACUCGCCAACGUGCGUGUGGCCCUUCUCGUGAAUCGGCCGCCGCUGGCUCAAGGAAGAUGACGCCGCCGCCGCCCAGUCUUCACCCACUCCGCCGGCCGACACGGUGGACGCGUGGUACCGCGCGCUCGAGUGCGGCGACUUCUGGUUCCUGCCCAGGUGUACAACCGCAAGGUACCCUCCCCACGGCUGGAAGCUGGCCAAGGAGGAGGAGAGGCGUGCAAUAUUAUUCUUCACCUUCAAUAUCUAUUGCACGGACUGAUAUUUUGAAUGUGUCAAUGUGACAAGGAGGCGGGUGUGAUGUGUACAGGGCCCUCACCCACAAGGAGCCCUUCACCAAAAUCAUAGUGUCAAAUUACGACUGCAUCUUAAAUAACUUGUUGUGCAUAGUGUCAAAAUAUUCAUGUGAUCCCAAACCUAUUUUGAUUUGAACUUGGCCUAUGUUUAUGCCCAGUUUCUGUUAAUUAUCUUGAAUGGUGUGGUACCGUGUCUAUGCACGCACAACUUCCUCCCACAAAAAAAACUAAGUGCAUGUCUCUCUCACUUUCGUUCGCAUUUCUUUUAACAUCAUCUUCAGAAUGAACACAAAUCUUUUUAUUUCUAAUAUUUUUUAUAUUUAUUUCCUUUUCAUUGAUUCAUGUGCAGUGUAAUGUUCUUGUAGGAUGACAAGUUGUCGCAUCUCGAGCAUGUCUCAUAGGAGAGUGGAAUGAAGUCCAUUGUACUGUCGGGAUAGUAGUAGAUGUGCCAUUGUUCUAUUGUGAAAUUAUGUCUGUCCUUGCUAUCCUCUGUAAGGAAAUGUAUUCAUGAGAUGAGUUAUUGUAUUAUGUAAACCUGGCAGAUGUAUUA
Molecule: RNA transcript, 1278 nt
Organism: Hordeum vulgare subsp. vulgare (domesticated barley)
Lineage: Eukaryota; Viridiplantae; Streptophyta; Magnoliopsida; Poales; Poaceae
Exons: 5
Source: RefSeq, a predicted model, not a curated record